GUGCUUUUUCUCUCUGUUCUCCUCUUCCUGUCUCUGCUGGCUAAUGCGGCGUUGGCUCACCUGUAUUAUAGCAAUGGCCUAGACUGGCUAAUAAGUUGUGAACCAGUAAAGAGCUGUUCAGAUCAAGAUGUUGACCACAAUGCUCAAAUCGAACCGUUCCUUCACAAGGAUAUGGAAAACAGGUCCCAAGCACAUCACUGUCCCCAA
Sinocyclocheilus rhinocerous is the source of this 207-nucleotide long non-coding RNA. RefSeq lists it as uncharacterized. The transcript has 3 exons. The record is from RefSeq and is a predicted model, not a curated record. NCBI's taxonomy places the organism in Eukaryota, Metazoa, Chordata, Actinopteri, Cypriniformes, Cyprinidae.